UCCGGUUGAUCCUGCCGGAGGUCACUGCUCUCAGUGUUCGACUAAGCCAUGCAAGUCAAAUGUUCUUCGUGAACAUGGCGAACUGCUCAGUAACACGUGGAUAACCUGCCCUUAGGACCGGCAUAACCCUGGGAAACUGGGGAUAAUUCCGGAUAACCCAUUAAUGCUGGAAUGCUUCGUGGGUAAAAUGGUUUCGACCGCCCAAGGAUGGAUCUGCGGCCUAUCAGGUAGUAGUGGGUGUAGUGUACCUACUAGCCGACGACGGGUACGGGUUGUGAGAGCAAGAGCCCGGAGAUGGAUUCUGAGACAUGAAUCCAGGCCCUACGGGGCGCAGCAGGCGCGAAAACUUUACAAUGCGGGAAACCGCGAUAAGGGGACACUGAGUGCCAGCAUCUUAUGUUGGCUGUCCGCAUGUUUAAAACGCAUGUGUUAGCAGGGGCUGGGCAAGACCGGUGCCAGCCGCCGCGGUAACACCGGCAGCCCGAGUGGUGAUCACUAUUAUUGGGUCUAAAGGGUCCGUAGCCGGUUUGAUCAGUCUUUUGGGAAAUCUGACAGCUUAACUGUUAGGCUUCCAAAGGAUACUGUCAGACUUGGGACCGGGAGAGGUAAGAGGUACUACAGGGGUAGGAGUGAAAUCUUGUAAUCCCUGUGGGACCACCAGUGGCGAAGGCGUCUUACCAGAACGGGUCCGACGGUGAGGGACGAAAGCUGGGGGCACGAACCGGAUUAGAUACCCGGGUAGUCC
This 745-nucleotide ribosomal RNA is filed under the name uncultured archaeon. RNAcentral's name for it is "bacterial SSU rRNA". It matches the Rfam family "Archaeal small subunit ribosomal RNA", at positions 1 to 747 of the family's 1478-position model. The record is from RNAcentral.